This 206-nucleotide ribosomal RNA is filed under the name uncultured bacterium. RNAcentral describes it as "partial 16S ribosomal RNA". It matches the Rfam family "Bacterial small subunit ribosomal RNA", at positions 568 to 774 of the family's 1533-position model. The record is from RNAcentral.
AGCGCAGGCGGUGCGGCAAGUCUGAUGUGAAAGCCCACGGCUCAACCGUGGAGGGUCAUUGGAAACUGGGAGACUUGAGUGCAGAAGAGGAUAGUGGAAUUCCAAGUGUAGCGGUGAAAUGCGUAGAGAUUUGGAGGAACACCAGUGGCGAAGGCGACUGUCUGGUCUGUAACUGACACUGAGGCGCGAAAGCGUGGGAGCAAACA